Meleagris gallopavo (turkey) is the source of this 5408-nucleotide non-coding RNA. The record is from RefSeq and is a predicted model, not a curated record. Lineage: Eukaryota; Metazoa; Chordata; Aves; Galliformes; Phasianidae.
AGUAACACUGACUUAAAAUGUAUCAUCUUGACCCGACUCUCUGACUCUCACAGGGGGAACCCUUUGCAACAUCCACCAACAACCUCUGAUCAGUUAUUUGUCCUGUAGGACGCAAAGACAGAGAGAUGCUUUGCUGCUGCUUUCAGGAGCUGAGGUGUUGAAGACAUAAAUCCAUACAAUGGAGGAGCAUCGCAUGGGAAACACUGCCUUCAGGAGAGUUGUAAUGGGUAAACUUGGGCUGAAUUGAACGCUGGCUUCUUUCCAGGUAAGUCACCAUCAGCAGCGAAGACCAUUUGUUUUGAAUGCUGUUGUUUUUUAGCUGCUGGUGGGUGGCUCCAUCCAGCAGAGCUGCCUGUGUUCAUAGAGCUAAUGUGAGCCAGGAGAAAAGGAAAGUUCUGCCAGAGGCUUGCUGUACAAUGCUCGGGUCAGUCACAGAGUUAUAACAGCUGUAAUAACCCAUUGUAUUUUCUGUAGACUGAGGUAUGACUCUGCUAGCUUGGAAGCCUCUGAAUUCUUCAGUCCUGCAGAAUUCCAGUUUGAAACCUGGCUCCCCAUCCCUGGGCAGUCCUGCAGUUCCCACCAGUGGCACAUCACCUCCAGCAUGCUUUCCUGAGUAGGGAUGCAGCUCUCAGCUCAGUGCUGGAAUGCUGUUUUUGUCUCUUCUCCCUUUCUUCUUAUUGCUCAGUAAAUAAUAAAAGCAUUCCUAAUUGGAAAACGAGGCUUCAAAGAAGAGAUUGCUUCUUAUUCACUACAUUCUCCCACACUUGGGGUAUCGAUGCACUUUUUGGUAAGUCCCCUCCCUUUUUUAAGGAAAAAUGAUGUUCCAGCUGCUAUUUGUGUGUAAUCUACUGAGCAGCAAGGGGAAAUGGCAUAAGAAGAAAUCUCUGGAGUAACACAGGGAGAAAAACAAACUGAUAACUCCUGACAGAUUGAUGGCUCCUUCCUUCAUCUAAAUCUUUAUAGAUUAGCAUGUCUCUUCUUUCACAGAUAUGUUUGUUUGCACUAUGUCAUCUAACCUAAUCUGUACGGGAAGUAUAUUUAUCCUAGAGCAGUGGGGCAUUUGUAGUGCUGGCUUGUCACCAAGAGUAAUGGACAGGAAAGGUAAGAUAAUUUCAACCAUAUUAAGGGCUGAGAGUGACUAUGGGUGUUUUGAUAAUGGGAUGCUAGGAGUGAAUAAACUGAAAUGCUUUUGUUAUAUAUUUUGCUAAUAAUAGAUCUUUUGUUAUGGUUUCUUCCCGUGUUUCCUCUGUUCCACUGCUGAGAGGGGGCAGGAGGGCCACAUGAGGAUGGGGUGACACCGAGGGCUGGCUGGGAGCCCCAGGUUGGGCUGACCCAAGGAAGAAGGGAUGGGUGUGUGAGACCCCCAGGCAGGGCUGGCUUGGAGGCUCUCCAGGUUGCUGCUUCCCCCAGAGCCUUCUUCUGCAAAUAGAAGACAGGAUUGAGUGAGGGGAGACAUUGCUGGGCACAUCAGCACCAGGGAUGAGGCAACAUUCCUAGUCACAAAGAUGACAGUUAACUGGGGAUUUAUUUUUUUUUUUUCUUCUAGUGUUUUGCUGAUGAAGCUGACAAUCUCCAGAAGCUGCUUCCUGCCUUUGUUUGGUGACCAGCCCUUCUGCAGCACUGGAGCCUGCAAGGAGCACCUGGGAGCCAUUCAGCUGCCCUUCAUCCUCUCAGGGGACACCCGGAACACUUUGGCAGCCUUCCUUGUAAUGGAUGGCCCUGUGCCCACCAUCGCUUCGUUGCAGCAUCAGGAAGAAACAGAUAGAUGUUGCCAUUUACCUGGGUGGCUGAGAAGCAAUUUCAAGCAAUGGAAGUUUGGGCCCAGCAGUGUUCAUCAUGUCGGCUCUAGGAGAGAAAUUAGUCACAGUGUGAGUAAAUAAUGGAGAAGGUGCAGAAGGCAGAGUGAGGCAGCAUUUUUCUCCACCUUUUGAUCACUACGAUGCAGAAGGCAUUGCCAUGGAGAAGUGCAGUCUGCAGUGUGGUUGCUUUCCUCUGCAAAAAGGUGGCCCUGGAGCUGGGCUGGAGAUCACCGUCUGGGAAUGCCUGGUUUUACAGCCAGGAUGCCCUCUGAUUUCAUAAACAAAUAUUUCCCACAGCUCUGCUGAUGGUGUUGUUUGCAGUCUCUCCUGGUUUCCUAUGGAGCAGGCAGUGCAGAAAGCUGUGGAAGCAGUGGCACAUUCAGGCUGCGGGACUGCAUGGCUGAGAGUUUGGAACUCUAUUCCUACUCCUGCUUUUCUGAUUGAAAGGAUGGAAAUGCACCACAUAUGCAUUCAAGGUCUGGGGACUUCUCUGAGUCAGCUUAACGUAAACCUAAAAUUCAUUCCUUAACUCACUGCAUGGUUUCUGCUGAGGGACCGCUGCCUCUCUGCCCAAUGCUGUGUCAGAAAUUUCCCGUACUCUUUUGAGGUAAAUGACCAAUAUUUGAGUUGUUCUUACACGUGUACUGUUUGUCCAUACUGAUGGAAAGAAUAUUCUGUGCUUACCAUAACUGCUAGCAGCACAGAUUUCAUAGGAUGAAAGAGCAAAACAACACAGAAGUGUUGGGGGUUUCAGCCGGAGGAGACUGAAUCCCAUACAGAGAGUUCUGUAGGUGUAGCUCCCAGCUAUCUGCUGCCUCAUCAAAGAUGCAUUGUACAAAGAUUUCUGGUCUGUGCUCUGGCCUUGAAUGGAGGUUUGUGGCUGCCCGUGCCACGCUUCCCUUUCAUCUCAAGGCAACAGGAAAAUUACUUCUGCUGCUCCUUCCUCUUCAUAUUCGUUCAUCAUUUCCAUAUGGUAGCUGUGCCGUGGUGCCAUGUGCUGUGCAGCUCAGCUGCGCUGGGAGCUGCCAACGUUAGAAUCAAUUUUUGCUCUGAAGCAGCAGUGAGGAGCUGCUUUGUAUCACGCUGCAAGGAAAUGAGCACUGGCUCGAAAGCAGUUGGUUCUGUUUUCCCAGUCCUCAUAUCUCCUUGGGAUCUUGGAAAGUUUUUUGAUCAUCUUGGACUGGAAGUGUGAGCUUUUGAUGAUUUUCUACGGAUACCAUUUGGGGGUUACUUUUCUAUGUAUAGCCCAUAGUGUAUUUUGUGGGGUCACAGAAACAUGUUUCUGUGAAUCGACUUGUUUCAUUUCUACCACUACUGAGUCCGAAUGUGAAGAGCUGUUGUGAUAAAUGCAGAGUGGAAUGGUAAAGUCUGGCACAGAUCUGACUUUUUAGUUUCCCUGUUGUGUGUCACAAGUCAGUCUAACUAACAUGCAGGUGUUUUGGUCUACAGCUGGUGGCUGCCCUGGUGAUGCCAAAGGGCUCAGAUCUGCAGUUAAUAAAGACCCAGACAUGGGUCGACGGAGCUCUUCUAUCCCCUCUGAUAAAGAGAUACCUGGGAGCACAGCACGCUUCUCCUGCUGAGACAGAGAAAGUGGUUGUGACAGAAAGCACUAGUGAUCCUGAGAUAUGACAGUUUGGGAGGUUUCCCAGUUAAUGAGAUUUUUCUCAGCUAACAGCCUGCCUGCUGAGCAGCCUGACCCAGCCCACCCCUCGUACACACUGGUGGCAGAGUCCCUGCUGGGAGGGGACAGAAGGCUUGGGGCUCAGAUCUGCAUGGGGUAGCACCAGCACUGCUGCCAGGAAUGCGUGUGGUCCUCAUCCAGGUGUGAAGGGCUGGAGGGAGCAGCUCUCCACCAACUGCCUACAUACUGAAACCCAUCUAAAAGGGCCCUGGGGGUGAUUUGUUGCGUUCAUGUUUCAGAGACCCUGCAGUAACUAAAACUGUACCUUUUCAGAGCUGGCACUAAACUUAUGGAAAUAACUCAUUUCAGAGAGCCGACUGAUUCUUGGCUACAGGACAAGCGAGUGCCCACUGGCCUGUCUGGGCCAGGGCAGCAGUACCCGAAGGUUUGUGUGCCUGGGCAGUGGUGGUGGCAGCAGGUAGGGGCAUGUGAGCCCCCAUCACUGGGAUGUGCCUGGGUCUGGGCCAAGACCAUCCCAGGACAGCUGCCCUGGGGCCAUGCUGGAGGUGUUGGCCCCAGUUCCGGAGCCAGGUGCUGUCUGGGGGUUUAUGGGGGAGCAGCACCAGCACUGGGCCAAUUUGUGUUUCUCACCAUUGCCAACAGACCUGCUUCCCCACAUCAUGUUGUGCUGGGAUCCCAGCUCUGUGCUCACAGCCAGAAUCCCACUGCAGGAGAGGGGAUUGUCUGACGCCAAGAACGCGAUUGGCAGCGCUGAGGCGGCGGCUUUCCAAACCAGAAUGUUACUGACUGCCAUGUGGGAGCUCAGCUCUCCCCCAGCCCUCACUGCUGUCUGUUCCUCUGGAGCAGGAUGUGCCCACAGGAGGGAUUGCACUCAUGGAUCGGAUGCCACAGCACAGACAGGAUGAUGCUCUGCAAAACACGGAGAAGCAGAGGCAGAAGAUGUAGGGAAAAAAGAAAGAUAUUUGAAUUUGUUACUAGGAGGAGUGAAAUAAACAUGGGAACGUUUCCCAGGAGCAGAGCUUGUUAUGGUAUAUCUGUAAAAUGGCAGAGGGUCACAUGGAUGGUAUUUGCAGAAACAUGUCACUCUCAGCCAUGAGCUGUGGUGCUGCUGCUCUGUGCCAGCUGGAUGAAACACACCAGAGAAAUUCACUGCACAGUGCUGUGCAUUUCCAACAUGCCACGGUAAAAGAUUAUUGCAGCCACAGCGUUUAGGUACAGUUAUUUGAUAAAGGCAAUUAUGGGAAAAUUAAUUGGGAAAGGUUAACUUUGAAGAACUGUGGAAUGUUUGCUCCCAUUGGUAUUGAAGUGUGGUUGCAGGUAUCUCUUGGUAAGAAACUUGAAGUCUGGGUGCACAUUAACACAAGGCACAUUUCUAUCUCUUCACAGCAAUGAUUUGGCCAGCACGAUUUGGAUUCAGAACUAAAUACACAGAGUGCAAACAGUCACUGCAGGAUGGGGCUCGGGCAAUUGGCACAGAUGUGUGAGUCCAGGCUCUGCUUUCAUACAGAUCCCUGGGAUGUCACAUUAGGAAAUCCCCCCUUCUGUACCAGCAUCUUCUCAGCAUGUGCACUGGGAAAUACCCACCUUUAAACAGGUGCUUCCAUACAGGCUUUCACACAGUGCUCUCACACAAUUUGUAUAAAAAUGUCUUAUGUUCUUCUGAUUGCGCUUCGAAACAUUCCUUUGGAGAACUCUAAGUGACACGUAGUGGCUGCGUUUUUCUUUUUCAUGCGAUUUUACAAGUCCUUUUUUUUUGUUUUGUUUAGUUUUAAAUCAUGUUAGUGAUCUGUUUUCAGCUCCAUUGGAUGCUCCUGCCAUACUUGACCACUGGACACUGGCAUACACAGUGUAGAUCUGAUAAAAUGUGUUUCCUGUACCAUGCGUCACUCCCAAUUUAUUUAGCAGCUCAAAGCUGCUGCAGUGGUAAAGGUGGUGAUAUACUUGCUCCAUUCUUUGAGGCACAAACA